UGAUAAUAGACUCAAGACGAGGAAAAUGCAGCAAGGAAGCGAGGUAAGGAGCUAAAAUGAAGAAGAAAUAACAUGAUGAAAGAGCUUUGGUAUAUGCAUUCAAAGGACAAAUUUAGCCUUGAAGAGCUUGAAUAUUUGGAUGCUAGUAUGAAGAACUUGUGGAAUGAUGUUGCUGAACUUUUAAAGAAGCUAAAGAAGGAACAAGGGAACUCGAGCUUUACCAAGGGUUUUCCAAGGGAUGAC
RNAcentral lists this long non-coding RNA (243 nucleotides) under Carica papaya (papaya). Its description in RNAcentral is "long non-coding RNA (CPAP_LNC006539)". Lineage: Eukaryota; Viridiplantae; Streptophyta; Magnoliopsida; Brassicales; Caricaceae. The record is from RNAcentral.